This 836-nucleotide ribosomal RNA is filed under the name uncultured archaeon. RNAcentral's name for it is "bacterial SSU rRNA". It matches the Rfam family "Archaeal small subunit ribosomal RNA", at positions 21 to 859 of the family's 1478-position model. The record is from RNAcentral.
GGUUACUGCUAUCGGUGUUCGCCUAAGCCAUGCGAGUCAUAUGUUCGUAAGAACAUGGCGUACUGCUCAGUAAACGUGGAUAACCUGCCCUUGGGUCCGGCAUAACCCCGGGAAACUGGGGAUAAUUCCGGAUAACGCACAUAUGCUGGAAUGCUUUAUGCGUAAAAUGGAUUCGUCUGCCCAAGGAUGGGUCUGCGGCCUAUCAGGUAGUAGUGGGUGUAAUGUACCUACUAGCCUACGACGGGUACGGGUUGUGAGAGCAAGAGCCCGGAGAUGGAUUCUGAGACAUGAAUCCAGGCCCUACGGGGCGCAGCAGGCGCGAAAACUUUACAAUGCGGGAAACCGUGAUAAGGGGACACCGAGUGCCAGCAUCCUAUGCUGGCUGUCCGGGUGUGUAAAAUACACCUGUUAGCAAGGGCCGGGCAAGACCGGUGCCAGCCGCCGCGGUAACACCGGCGGCCCGAGUGGUGAUCGUGAUUAUUGGGUCUAAAGGGUCCGUAGCCGGUUUGGUCAGUCCUCCGGGAAAUCUGACAGCUUAACUGUUAGGCUUUCGGAGGAUACUGCCAGACUUGGAACCGGGAGAGGUAAGAGGUACUACAGGGGUAGGAGUGAAAUCUUGUAAUCCCUGUGGGACCACCUGUGGCGAAGGCGUCUUACCAGAACGGGUUCGACGGUGAGGGACGAAAGCUGGGGGCACGAACCGGAUUAGAUACCCGGGUAGUCCCAGCCGUAAACGAUGCUCGCUAGGUGUCAGGCAUGGCGCGACCGUGUCUGGUGCCGCAGGGAAGCCGUGAAGCGAGCCACCUGGGAAGUACGGCCGCAAGGCUGAAACUUAA